Molecule: unclassified non-coding RNA, 263 nt
Filed under: Hevea brasiliensis (rubber tree)
Lineage: Eukaryota; Viridiplantae; Streptophyta; Magnoliopsida; Malpighiales; Euphorbiaceae
Source: RNAcentral
AAACAAAGAAAUGGCUGUUCUAAAUUGCUACUACCUCUCAGUGACUUCUACAGCCACACCAAAAUCUCAAGAAUCUGCAAGCAAUUCAUCCCCAACACAGAAACUACCAACCAAAGUGAUUCUUCCCAAAAAAAAGCCUAUGAAAUGGUCUACUGGAGAUGCACCAGGUGAAUAUGGAGGACCACCAACUACAACUAAGCUAAGGAAGUAUUGGGGUGAGGAUAAAGAUCCUCUUACCUCUGAUGAUUUUAUUUGGAAUAAAG